RNAcentral lists this ribosomal RNA (253 nucleotides) under uncultured bacterium. Its description in RNAcentral is "partial 16S ribosomal RNA". It matches the Rfam family "Bacterial small subunit ribosomal RNA", at positions 524 to 776 of the family's 1533-position model. The record is from RNAcentral.
UACGGAGGGGGCUAGCGUUGUUCGGAAUUACUGGGCGUAAAGCGCGCGUAGGCGGACCUGCAAGUCGGGGGUGAAAUCCCGGGGCUCAACCCCGGAACUGCCUUUGAUACUGGGUGUCUGGAGGUCGAGAGAGGUGAGUGGAAUUCCGAGUGUAGAGGUGAAAUUCGUAGAUAUUCGGAGGAACACCAGUGGCGAAGGCGGCUCACUGGCUCGAUACUGACGCUGAGGUGCGAAAGCGUGGGGAGCAAACAGG